AGAGUUUGAUCCUGGCUCAGGACGAACGCUGGCGGCGUGCUUAACACAUGCAAGUCGAACGGAAAGGCCCUUCGGGGUACUCGAGUGGCGAACGGGUGAGUAACACGUGGGUGAUCUGCCCUGCACUUUGGGAUAAGCCUGGGAAACUGGGUCUAAUACCGAAUAUGACCAUGCGCCUCCUGGUGUGUGGUGGAAAGCUUUUGCGGUGUGGGAUGGGCCCGCGGCCUAUCAGCUUGUUGGUGGGGUAAUGGCCUACCAAGGCGACGACGGGUAGCCGGCCUGAGAGGGUGACCGGCCACACUGGGACUGAGAUACGGCCCAGACUCCUACGGGAGGCAGCAGUGGGGAAUAUUGCACAAUGGGCGCAAGCCUGAUGCAGCGACGCCGCGUGAGGGAUGACGGCCUUCGGGUUGUAAACCUCUUUCAGCACAGACGAAGCGCAAGUGACGGUAUGUGCAGAAGAAGGACCGGCCAACUACGUGCCAGCAGCCGCGGUAAUACGUAGGGUCCGAGCGUUGUCCGGAAUUACUGGGCGCAAAGAGCUCGUAGGUGGUUUGUCGCGUUGUUCGUGAAAACUCACAGCCUAACUGUGGGCGUGCGGGCGAUACGGGCAGACUUGAGUACUGCAGGGGAGACUGGAAUUCCUGGUGUAGCGGUGGAAUGCGCAGAUAUCAGGAGGAACACCGGUGGCGAAGGCGGGUCUCUGGGCAGUAACUGACGCUGAGGAGCGAAAGCGUGGGGAGCGAACAGGAUUAGAUACCCUGGUAGUCC
RNAcentral lists this ribosomal RNA (771 nucleotides) under uncultured bacterium. RNAcentral describes it as "bacterial SSU rRNA". It matches the Rfam family "Bacterial small subunit ribosomal RNA", at positions 8 to 796 of the family's 1533-position model. The record is from RNAcentral.